GGAAUAUUGGACAAUGGGCGCAAGCCUGAUCCAGCCAUGCCGCGUGAGUGAUGAAGGCCUUAGGGUUGUAAAGCUCUUUCACCGGUGAAGAUAAUGACGGUAACCGGAGAAGAAGCCCCGGCUAACUUCGUGCCAGCAGCCGCGGUAAUACGAAGGGGGCUAGCGUUGUUCGGAAUUACUGGGCGUAAAGCGCACGUAGGCGGAUAUUUAAGUCAGGGGUGAAAUCCCAGAGCUCAACUCUGGAACUGCCUUUGAUACUGGGUAUCUUGAGUAUGGAAGAGGUAAGUGGAAUUGCGAGUGUAGAGGUGAAAUUCGUAGAUAUUCGCAGGAACACCAGUGGCGAAGGCGGCUUACUGGUCCAUUACUGACGCUGAGGUGCGAAAGCGUGGGGAGCAAACAGGAUUAGAUACCCCGG
This 415-nucleotide ribosomal RNA is filed under the name uncultured Rhizobium/Agrobacterium group bacterium. RNAcentral's name for it is "bacterial SSU rRNA". It matches the Rfam family "Bacterial small subunit ribosomal RNA", at positions 358 to 790 of the family's 1533-position model. The record is from RNAcentral. Lineage: Bacteria; Pseudomonadati; Pseudomonadota; Alphaproteobacteria; Hyphomicrobiales; Rhizobiaceae.